Molecule: long non-coding RNA, 765 nt
Organism: Bubalus bubalis (water buffalo)
Lineage: Eukaryota; Metazoa; Chordata; Mammalia; Artiodactyla; Bovidae
Exons: 3
Source: RefSeq, a predicted model, not a curated record
CAGCCCGCCUGCCCGCCCGCGGCCACCACCGACUUUCCCAGCAGCAGGGGGCAAGGGGUGGGGGCGUCGGCUCCCGUAGAGGCUGGAGGCCUGGAAAGAAGCCAUCCUCCGCCAAUACCGCCUCCUACAGGUGCAGAAAAGGAAGGUGCUCACAGACGGCAGAAGGAAGCCAAGGAAGCGGGGGCACUUACUGGGGAGCCGACUUGCCGGCGGGAGAGAAGAUAAGAGGUGGAUCUGUAAGGAUUCUCUGCAUCAGUCAUGUCCCCACAGGAAUUGUAGCUCCCACCCAGCUGGAUGACUCAUUAUGCCAUAAACGCACAUACUGUUUCCUGCCUUUGGGCCCUGGUUUCUGCAUGGAAUGUCUCUCUGCCCUUCAAGGCCGUCAUUAGCAUCCCAGAAGCCGUUGCUGAUCUGUCCUCAACCAGCCCUAAGAGGAAGGUGCUCGCUGCCUCCUGCCUCGCAAGCCUUCCAGCACAGGGUCUGAGGCUGUGCUACCCCCUCGAGGCACAGAUGUCUCUUUGCUCCUGUUCCCUACCAGACACCCUGCACAGCACCCGAUAACAACGGAUGUCAUUACUGCCUUCCCAUUUGUCCCACCCUCCCCUUCUUCCCCCAUGUCUCAAGUCCAUGACUCUAUUCUUGCCCUGCAAACAGGUUCAUCUGUCCCAUUUCUCUAGAUUCCAUAUAUAUGUAUGAAUAUACAAUAUUUGUUUUUCUCUCAAACAGAUGGCUAGUAGGAACCUGCAAUAAAGCACAGGGAACUCA